RNAcentral lists this ribosomal RNA (228 nucleotides) under uncultured bacterium. Its description in RNAcentral is "partial 16S ribosomal RNA". It matches the Rfam family "Archaeal small subunit ribosomal RNA", at positions 746 to 978 of the family's 1478-position model. The record is from RNAcentral.
CCUGGCUGUAAACGCUGCAGGCUUGGUGUUGGGUCUCCUUCGGGGGUCCCAGUGCCGGAGCGAAGGUGUUAAGCCUGCUGCUUGGGGAGUACGGCCGCAAGGCUGAAACUUAAAGGAAUUGGCGGGGGAGCACAGCAACGGGAGGAGCGUGCGGUUCAAUUGGAUCAACGCCGGAAAACCACCAGGGGCGACUGUACAUGAAGCCAGGCUGAUGACCUUGCCUGAUUC